AGAGGAUAAGAUCAGUGGUAGAGCACAUGCUUAGUAUGCAUGAGGUCCUGGGUUCAAUCCCCAGUACCACUA
This 72-nucleotide transfer RNA is filed under the name Camelus dromedarius (Arabian camel). It matches the Rfam family "tRNA". From Rfam's summary of the family: Transfer RNA (tRNA) molecules are approximately 80 nucleotides in length. Their secondary structure includes four short double-helical elements and three loops (D, anti-codon, and T loops). Lineage: Eukaryota; Metazoa; Chordata; Mammalia; Artiodactyla; Camelidae. The record is from Rfam by way of RNAcentral. RNAcentral also lists the same sequence under 1 other name.